This 73-nucleotide transfer RNA is filed under the name Dendrosporobacter quercicolus. It matches the Rfam family "tRNA". From Rfam's summary of the family: Transfer RNA (tRNA) molecules are approximately 80 nucleotides in length. Lineage: Bacteria; Bacillati; Bacillota; Negativicutes; Selenomonadales; Sporomusaceae. The record is from Rfam by way of RNAcentral. RNAcentral also lists the same sequence under 1 other name.
GUGGCUGUGGUGAAGCGGUUAACACGGCGGAUUGUGGCUCCGUUACCCGAGGGUUCGAAUCCCUUCAGUCACC